UACGAAGGGUGCAAGCGUUGUUCGGAAUGACUGGGCGUAAAGGGCGCGUAGGCGGUUUUAUGCGUUUGAGGUGAAAGUCCUGGGCUCAACCUGGGGAUUGCCUUGAAUACGGUAGGACUAGAGUACGAGAGGGGAAAACGGAAUUGCGGGUGGAGAAGUGAAAUUCGUAGAGAUCCGCAGGAACACCGGUGGCGAAGGCGGUUUUCUGGCUCGUAACUGACGCUGAGGCGCGAAAGCGUGGGGAGCAAACAGG
Molecule: ribosomal RNA, 253 nt
Filed under: uncultured bacterium
Lineage: Bacteria
Description: partial 16S ribosomal RNA
Rfam family: Bacterial small subunit ribosomal RNA
Source: RNAcentral